This 301-nucleotide ribosomal RNA is filed under the name uncultured bacterium. RNAcentral describes it as "partial 16S ribosomal RNA". It matches the Rfam family "Bacterial small subunit ribosomal RNA", at positions 509 to 808 of the family's 1533-position model. The record is from RNAcentral.
CAGUCGCCGCGGUAACACGUAGGUGGCGAGCGUUGUCCGGAAUUAUUGGGCGUAAAGGGAGCGCAGGCGGACAUAUAAGUCCAUCUUAAAAGUGCGGGGCUCAACCCCGUGAGGGGAUGGAAACUGUAUGCCUUGAGUGCAGGAGAGGAAAGCGGAAUUCCCAGUGUAGCGGUGAAAUGCGUAGAUAUUGGGAGGAACACCAGUGGCGAAGGCGGCUUUCUGGACUGCAACUGACGCUGAGGCUCGAAAGCCAGGGGAGCGAACGGGAUUAGAUACCCCCGUAGUCCCUGUCUCUUAUACC